RNAcentral lists this long non-coding RNA (1573 nucleotides) under Aplysia californica (California sea hare). Its description in RNAcentral is "uncharacterized LOC118478398". The record is from RNAcentral. Lineage: Eukaryota; Metazoa; Mollusca; Gastropoda; Aplysiida; Aplysiidae.
ACCGCGAGGUGUGGGGGGUGCCAGACACACAGUACCAGUUUCCUCCUCCCCGGCGGAACUUGCAACAAGACAAUUUCACUGAGCUGGCGGCACGGAAUAUUAAUUCCUUAUGGCGAUUUCACGUCAGGAUUAGCCUCGGCUUAUCGCGACAACACACAGCUUCGCUCUCGGAUUCCUCAUCUGGAUGUCUGUUUUGUUCAUGUGAAGGCAAAAAAAAAAAAAAAAGAAUAAAGAGAAGUCCCUAUUUAACAAUAGCAACGUAAAAAAAGCGUCUGUGAAAAGCGAAUAAAUACAUGAAAGAAUCAUGUUGUAUAAGUAGAAAACAAAGAUUGCAGCGGAAUUUCAACUGGGAGUGCAUACAUGAAUUUCUAAAGCGAAGUCAAACUCUCGAGGAAUCGUCAACUUAUUAUAGUAGUCUCGUCAUUUCUGGGAUCACACUACCAUCAUUUGGAGCGCCACUUCACGCCAGGACUUUGUGACGUGACGUCACAACCGUUUCACCAAUUAUCCGGAACUUUGGAGUGUGAGUGAGUGAGUGAAAAAUACGUGAAGGUUCACCACAGACACCAACACCACGCCACCGUUUCAUCUUUGGAGUGUUGGUGAGUGAGUGAGAGAUACUAAGAGCUCCCUACCCCCAACACUGCGUCAUCGUUUCACCAAUUUUCUGAAACUCGGGAGUGUGUGAGAGGUGCCUAACCUAAAGGCUCACCACCACCACCAACACCACCACGUCACCGUUUCGUCCAUUUCCCUUGAACUUGGAGUGUGUGAGUGAGAGAUACAUAAUUAAGGGCUCAUAACUGCAAAACACGUCACCAUAUCACAAACUGUCUGGAACUUGGGAAUAUAAGCUGCUGAUUCCUAAAGUUCACCUCCACCACCACCACCACGUCACAUUUUCACCAAUGUUCUAGAACUUGGAGUGUAAGCAGAAAAUACCCAAGGAUUUAACACCACGGCCACGCCACAGUUUCACCAAUUCUCUGGAACUUACUUAAUUGGAGUGAGUGUAGCUGAAAUCCAAGUCUUCACCAUCACCACCACCACAUCGUCACCGUUUCACCAAAUGCCCUGGAACUUGGAGUGUAUGAGAGAGAUCUAAAGGGUCCACCACCACGUCACAGUUUCACCAAUUUUCUGGAACGUGGAGUGUGAGUAAGCAGCUGAGUGUAAUUUACUACAACAUCGACAUCCCCACCUCUACCCCCACCCUCACCACCACGACCACCACUACAACGCUCAUAUAAACAGGCGUGCGACAAUUGUUUUUGGAUAUUUCCUCAACGACGGCGCCUACGGAGCUAACUGGAUCAUCUAGAUCUCCAUGCAGUUCCCCGAUUCUGCAACAAUAAGUUUAAGUUUAAUAAUCUCAAGAAAGUACAGCAUUACGCGACAGCUGCAUCGACUGAUACGAUCAUAAACUCUCUCCUUGGGCUCUAUCAUUCUGUUGUGAGAAGUGUGGUCUGUGAAGAGAGAGGGAGAGAGAGUGUGUGAAGAGAGUAGUGGAGAGGGAGAGUGAGGAGAGUGGUGGAGAGGAAGAAGAGUCGUGGAGAGGGAUAGGGGGAAAGAG